RNAcentral lists this microRNA precursor (96 nucleotides) under Nicotiana sylvestris (wood tobacco). RNAcentral's name for it is "MIR6152 microRNA precursor family". It matches the Rfam family "MIR6152 microRNA precursor family". Lineage: Eukaryota; Viridiplantae; Streptophyta; Magnoliopsida; Solanales; Solanaceae. The record is from Rfam by way of RNAcentral.
UGGACAAAUUAUUGUAUUCGACUGUAUUCAGGACAUGAAACAUGGGAUUACACUGUUUUUAAAUGGAAAGUGAAUAAAUUAACAUAAUACACUCCU